This 423-nucleotide ribosomal RNA is filed under the name Triticum aestivum (bread wheat). RNAcentral describes it as "partial small subunit ribosomal RNA". Lineage: Eukaryota; Viridiplantae; Streptophyta; Magnoliopsida; Poales; Poaceae. The record is from RNAcentral.
AUGACAACCCAUGGAGAUGAAAAACUGAAAGAUGUGAAGAACAUGAAUUGGUGUAAGUUCAUAGCCAACUUCCUGCACGAUGCAUUCUCAAGCAAGAUGUACCAAAAGGGUUGUCGACUGCAUUUAAUGCUCAUGUACGUCGACUGUCUUGAUCUGUCCACCGUGGAUUUCACUGGGACAGGAGGCCCGCCGCCUACGCACAAGUUUGCUGUUUCUGCAUGGACUAUCAACGUUGUCAAGGCUGUGCUUGCUGCAGACAGGGUAACUGAUACCAAAUAUGGAAAACUGCAGCUGAUGGCCAAGCAUGCUAUAGACUACAGCGUGUUUGGGGGGGCUCAAAACUUUGGAAAGUGGAUGGACGUGCACUCAGCUCCGUCUUGCCCUACUGAGGCGAGGGCACCUGUUGAGCAUCUAAUUGGGUAG